Molecule: small RNA, 131 nt
Filed under: human gut metagenome
Description: Ribosomal protein L10 leader
Rfam family: Ribosomal protein L10 leader
About the family: This family is a putative r-protein leader autoregulatory structure found in B. subtilis and other low-GC Gram-positive bacteria.
Source: RNAcentral
UUAUAUAUUAAUAUAACCUAAGACAGUAGGUGUGUUUUAAUACGCAUAAAUUCCUACCGAGGUAAAUGAAUCGGAUUAAAGUCUGAUGUUUAUUUAUCGAAGGUAGGUAAACAUCAGGCUUUUUAUAUUCU